AUUCACCUCCACCACCACCGGUUUACAAGUCACCUCCACCACCUCCUCCAGUUUACAAGUCCCCGCCACCACCUUACCAUUAUUCCUCACCACCACCUCCAGUGCAUUCACCCCCACCACCACCAGUUUACAAGUCUCCGCCACCACCUUACCAUUAUUCCUCACCACCACCUCCAGGGCAUUCACCCCCGCCACCACCAGUUUACAAGUCACCGCCACCACCUCCUCCUGUUUAUAAGUCCCCUCCACUACCUCAUCAUUAUUCCUCACCACCACCUCCAGUGCAUUCACCCCCACCACCACCAAUUUAUAAGUCUCCCCCACCGCCUCCCCCAGUAUAUAAGUCACCACCACCACCUCCUCCAGUAUACAAAUCACCUCCACCACCUCCUCCAGUUUACAAAUCUCCACCACCACCAAUUUAUAAAUACAAGUCUCCUCCACCACCUCCUCCAGUUUACAAUUCCCCACCACCACCAAUCUACAAGUCUCCACCUCCACCCUACCAUUACCACUACAAUUCUCCUCCUCCUCCUCCUCAUCACUACUAAGCAAUUGUAUCCAAGUUUUUGAGGUAAUAAUGCUAAACCAAUAUAUUAACUUUCGCAUGAUAAACUUUAUCUCUAUCAAGACAAACUGCCAUGUGCAUCAUGCCAAAUACGUACACUUAGAUCCAUGAAAAUGACUAGUAGAAGGUUUUCUUAAGAACCAAGGAACAGCAUUAGUAUUCCCUCCGUUUCCAAAACUUGUGUAUUAAAUAGAUUAAUGAAUUGUUUAACAUGCUUAUCUACUUGAAAAUGCACAAUACCCAUAACCCACUGAAAUUUUUGCAGGUAAAGGGGAAGAGAAUCUGUGUUUGAGAGCUUCAUAAAGAUGUUGAAGAAUAAGAAUAAAAGCCCAAUGCGAGGAUGUUUUCAAGUUUUUCUAUGUUUCCACUUUAAUUUGUAAAUUGAAUUUUUCGACUCAAUUAAUUCCCUGUUUGUGGGGUACGUAUUGUUUUACGUACCAUGCCGUACAUGUUUGUAAGGAUUUCUAUCCUAUUGGCAAAAGUCGGUUCCAUACAAUUAAUAAAUUCAUUUCACUUCUAUUGGCUCUACUAUUUAUGCAUGGUACGACAUUUUUUCUCUCUUUCCCUUAUAUUUUGCCUUUAAUAUUAUUGAGUCAAUAUUAAUAAUGGGCCUUUUUCUUAAAAUUAUACUAUUAUACAUAGGUAGUUUGGUCUAACGCUAAAUUCAUGUUUGUCUUUCUUUUAUUCCCUUUACAUCUCAAAGUAUACUAUAGUUUGUGAUCAUUGUGGUGAUGAUAUUACCAGCUGGUACUUAUAGUUUAAGGCAGAGACAUGAUAUUAACAACUAUCUCAUUGAAACAUAAGGAAAAAUCAUGACAAGUGUGAGUCUUGGUUAAUGCACAAUUUGUUAGUGGAAUUUAUAUUUAUAAAACUCAAAAAAAAAUUUUGACAACGCUAUUACUAAUUAAUUAAGGACUUUAUUGCUAUAACUUAUCGCUUACUAGUUUAAACUAUAAAUGAUCUCAAUACUUUUCUCCAUGAUGUCGAUUUCUUUAGACUACGAAAGGGAAAAAUUAGUGACAUAUCCCUUACUGAUUACAACAUCAGCAAAAAUUAGUUAUAAACUUUUCCGGUGGUUUUAAAUCCCUCGGGCACUAAGAUUUUUUGCACAUCGAGUGAAUGAAGGAACAUAGGCAAUUCGUUCAGCAUACCAAGUCCUUGUUUAAGAUGCAAGUACUAAAAUGCAUCCUCUUCAUUAAUUUGGGAAAUUGCCAUAGUUUUUUUUUAAGCAUUUUGAUUUUUUACAUGAUUCAAAAUUUUCUUAUUGGAUACAAUCACUUUGUAUCAAGAACACAUUUUCAAUCAUCUUUUUUAUCUUCUCAAUAAGAAAAUAAAAAUUUAUUCAUGCUUUUCUAACAUAUCCAAUCAUUGAUCUGAAAAAUAAAGAAUUAAAAAAAAAAUACAUUUUCAAUCAUUGCUUACAGGGCAACUUCCCCAUGUGAACCUCUUCAAACAAAGCUAAUAAUAUGAAGGAACAUCUAAAUACACUUUUGCCCUAAAGACUGGUUGCCUUGGGGUCAAAAUUUAACCUUCGGGAGUAUAAUUACCCUGCCAAAUUUAUUAUUUUUUUAUGGGUAUAUAGUUCCAAUUUUUCCUCCUGUUAAGCUUAUAAAUAUAUUAUCACCCAGAAAAUAAAGGAAUCUUGAAUACUAACAUGUCCAUUGACUUGAGUUGUCAUCAAUUCGGCUACUUCGGCCAAUCUAAUUCACACUAGCUAGAGAAAAUGGAGAUAAAGGCACAUAGAAAAUUAUAUGUAAUAUUGAUUGGUAGUAACCACCUUGUAUUGAUCCCACUAUUGUGAAAAAAAAUUAUAAAAAAUUAGCAAAAUUUAAAAGAACAAAUUAAAUUUAUUCGUACAAAUCAGUCAAAGAAGUAGUAUUUUAAAGACCAUGAUGAAAUUAAUACUUUCAAGGUCUCUAUUAGGAAGACUUCCUUUGUUGGUGAAACUACACUAGGCACAGUUAUAUGCCUAAUUUCCUUGCCUUAAGCUGGGUGCAGAUGUUUAUAUUACAAAUAGAUGGUAUCAAAAAAUUGUUGUAAUCACGUCUGUUCUUUUUUUCUUCCUUAAUUUUUUUUCUUUAUUCUCGUGACUUCAAAAAUACGAACUCAAGAAAUUGGCUGCUCAAUCAGUACAUCAUACAGGCUUCGACAUUAAGGUAUAACUUCACAACUAGAGCCAAUAGAAAUCGUCAAAUGAUUUUUUGACAUCCAAUUUAAGCAAUAAAUUUUGUUUUCAUUUCAUAACAUAUAAUAGUACUACUUCAUGGGAGAUUUUAUAGUUUCUUUAGGGUAUCAUACCUACAAUUGAUAUUUGUCAUUGGAUAGUGAAAGAAGUGUUAAUGACUGUAAGAUUAAAUAUUGUUAAAUAUUGAAAAUUUAAACUAUUUAUCUUUAUUGAGAGAUACAACUUAAAGAAUCCUGUUUUUCAUAGAAUUUUCUCUGUUUUUCAUCAUCUGUAGACAUAAACUUUCCACGGUUGAUGUACUAUAAGGAAAUUUUGCCUAUACAAUGUGAUAGCAUUUUUUCAAAAAGAUCGACAAGAUGGAAAAUUGCCCCCUUGAACGGAAAAAAUCAUGAUCUUUCCUCAAACUAGUCUACUUGUCAAUUCUUUAAAAAAGAAUACUCGCUCCUAAGCAUAGCCUGUUCAUCUACACUGUCCCGAAGAAUUCUAUAAAGUUAGGCAAAACUAGACAAGUUGACAGGUAUAAUCAGACCCAAGAUCAGGAACAAGCAGUUGCACAUUUCAAAAUUCGCUGCUGCAACAACUAAUUUGAUGACUUACAACACUAAAUGUAAUUUUCACGUUACAUAAUAGAUUGAUAUCUAUGUUCUUUAAAUUAUCAUAAUAAUACUCUUAAUUAAAUUUAACUGAUAAAAAGUGUGAAACUAGUAAGGAAUAAAUAAUGGUGAUAAUGUACUUAAUAAUUUAACAACAGCACCAUCAGAAUUUGAGCUUUGUAUCUAUAAAUUCCACGAAUAAAUAGCUUCAUCAAAUCAAGAUUUACACUUUUCAUAAUGUUAAGUUUCCUUGACUUUCAAUGAGAUAUUUAUUAGUACCAUGCUUCGGUCUUAAACAAUGAUCACAAACGAUAGCAUCCUUUGAGUUGAAAAGGGAAGUAGUGAAAAAGAGAAGUAUAAAAUACAAUUAGCAUUCCCUCAAAUUGUAGAAAGUUAGGUAGCAUUAUAGACAAGUUGAUAGCCGUAAUUAUACUAAAAAUCAGGCAAAAGCCAGCAAUUUUACAUUUCAAAAUUCACCUAUUCAAUAACUAAUUCGAUGGCUUGCUACAUGGUCAAAAUUCACCACAUAUCCCUUUCCUCAAUCAGGGGCUUCUACAAUUACCAGUUCCAAUUGUAUGGUAUAGUUCCAAUUACCAGUUCCUCAAUCGUUCCGUCAAUUAACUGCACCAUACAAUCUAACCUGCAAUUGUAUGAACCCCAAUCUCGCUUCCUAAUCCACCAUUUUUCUCUAGGUAAUAAUCUCCCUUCUAAUUUCUUCACAAAAUGCACCUUUCAUCACCUCCAAUAGCGUCGACAUGAUCUUUACCCUAGAAGACUAUUCACCGACUCUCAAUUGACGUCAGAAAAUCUAAGAGUAAUUCUACUUUACCCUAAGAUUGAUAUCAACUAGACAAUGACAAUUUAGAAUUAUUACACGCCUGUUCCUAAUAGGAAAAAGAAAUAGAGAAGAAAGUACAGGCCUGGUCUAAUUUCUUUUCAAAGGCAAUACAACAUUACGAAAUCAAGCAUUCAUUCAUACAAAUAUUUCCUAGUCACCGAUUUGCGGAGUAGAAAAGUUUAUACAAAAACUUAAUAUUAUAUUGUUUAAGAGUUAACAAUUUAGAGCUUAAUCCUGAUACUAGCAUAAUUACCUAAUGAAUCGCGAUUGUCAAAUAAAUUUACAGUUUGAGGAAAACCCAUUCUAACGUGUACAAGUCAAAAACGUUUGUGUUGAGGUUUGGUUACGAUACCUUCCUAUUAUUUAAAAUCUCUCACAUAAUCUCCUUGUACUUUGGACUAAACUCGAACGUGAAAGGAAAUCCCAAAACCAUAUUGGGCAUGAAUUCACACAUAAUAGACCCAAAAAAAGGCAGCGGAGACUGGUGGAGAGAUUUGAGGAAUAGACGCAGACGGAAAAGCAACAAAUUUUGGCCGAAAAACGGUCACUUUCAUGGUUAAUUUUUCUACUCUCUAAUUGUACUUACCAAAUGCAACAGUGAAAUUGUAAUAUAAGCUGAAGAUGGAGUUUGAUACGUGAAAAGAAUUUUUUUAUAAAUUUUAUUUUGACCCAUAAUGUUAUCUUUAGAUACAUAAAAUAUUUUAAAAUUUUGAUUUUUGCCCAGUUAACUUUUGGUAAACAAAAAAUGCUCAUGUUUAAAAAACCGGAAAUAAAAUAAAACAAGAAAUGAAAGAAAUAAGAGGGUAGCAUAGACAUUUUGGAUUUUUCCGUUAAUUUGGAUGAUUUCCAUCCACAUUCUAAUUUAAUCCAAAACACAAAGGAAUUAUAUGGAGAUUUUUAAAUAAUGACGGAGUUUCGUGAUUGAAUCCCAAACCACAAGGGGAUUUACUAUGAAUGUUCACGAUUGAUAAAGUUAUCAAAGUACAGUUUCAGGACAACCCAUUCCAACGUGUACAAGAUGUUUAGCCUUUGAAAAGUUAAUUAGAGAAGGUGACGAGAUUUUACUAGGCUUACAUCUUCUAGGCCUCGAGAGUAAAAAAUGAAGGCCUUUGAGGGCUAUAAAAAGGGGGCUAGAUGUUGCCUAGAAGCAUAUCAGCCUCAGACCACAUUUUGUAGCAAUGGGGAGCAAAGCAAAAGCAAUUGGGUCAAGGCUGACUCCUCUUUUUACCACCGUUUUAGUGGUAUUUGUUGCUCUUGGCUUGCCUUCAGAAACUGCAGCUGAUUACGACGACUAUUCACCUCCUCCUCCUCCUUACCAUUAUUCCUCACCACCACCUCUAGUGCAUGCACCUCCACCACCUCCUCCAAUUUACAAGUCCCCGCCACCACCUUACCAUUAUUCCUCACCACCACCUCCAGUGCAUUCACCUCCACCACUUCCUCCAGUUGACAAGUCUCCGCCACCACCUUACCAUUAUUCCUCACCACCACCUCCUGUGCAAGCACCUCCACCACCAAUUUACAAGUCACCUCCACCACCUCCUCCAGUUUACAAGUCUCCACCACCACCUUACCAUUAUUCCUCACCACCACCUCCAGUGCAUUCACCCCCACCACCACCAGUUUUUAAGUCUCCGCCACCACCUUACCAUUAUUCCUCACCACCACCUCCUGUGCAUGCACCUCUACCACCAAUUUACAAGUCACCUCCACCACCUCCUCCUCCAGUUUACAAGUCUCCACCACCACCUUACCAUUAUUCCUCACCACCACCUCCAGUGCAUUCACCCCCACCACCACCAGUUUACAAGUCUCCGCCACCACCUUACCAUUAUUCCUCACCACCACCUCCGACGCAUUCACCUCCACCACCACCGGUUUACAAGUCACCUCCACCACCUCCUCCAGUUUACAAGUCCCCGCCACCACCUUACCAUUAUUCCUCACCACCACCUCCAGUGCAUUCACCCCCACCACCACCAGUUUUUAAGUCUCCGCCACCACCUUACCAUUAUUCCUCACCACCACCUCCUGUGCAUGCACCUCUACCACCAAUUUACAAGUCACCUCCACCACCUCCUCCUCCAGUUUACAAGUCUCCACCACCACCUUACCAUUAUUCCUCAC
RNAcentral lists this long non-coding RNA (6311 nucleotides) under Coffea arabica (coffee). RNAcentral describes it as "long non-coding RNA (CARA_LNC006958)". The record is from RNAcentral. Lineage: Eukaryota; Viridiplantae; Streptophyta; Magnoliopsida; Gentianales; Rubiaceae.